AUAAUUGCAGACAUUCAAGACAGCCUCGCAACUAGCGUUGUACAAGAGAUUGGCACAGAAAAUGCAACCUUUAUCCAUUGUGAUGUCGCGAUUGAAUCGGACGUCCAAAAUGCGGUGGAUGCAACAGUUGCCAAAUUUGGUAAGCUUGACAUAAUGUACAGUAACGCUGGUGUAUUGGGCAAGCCAAUAUCCAGCAUCUUAGAAGUCGAUUAUGACAUAAUUAAGACUGUUUUCGACGUAAACAUUGUUGGCAAGUUCUUUUGCGCGAAACAUGCUGCUAGAGUGAUGAUUCCGGCCAAGAAAGGUGUCAUUCUUUUCACGGCAAGUGCUUCGACAGAGGUCUACGGUGCAGCUGUCCCACACACCUAUUCGGCCUCGAAAAACGCACUUCUGGGGCUUUCUAAGAACGUUGGAGUAGAAUUAGGGGAGUAUGGAAUAAGAGUUAAUUGUGUUUCUCCUUAUUACAUUAGCACCCCGCUUGUAUUAAACGGAUUUGGAAUAGACAAACAAAUGGCGGACAAAUGGUUUGCAGCAGGAGGAAAUCUGAAAGGAGCAUUACUAGGUGUAGAGGACGUUGCAAAGGCAGUAUUGUAUUUGGCAAGUGAUGAUUCCAAAUAUGCGAGUGGUAUGAAUCUCGUUCUUGAUGGUGGUUUUAGUACCACAAAUGUGGCUUUAACAGAGGCCUACAAGAAAUUGUUUCCAUCAACUACCAACAAAACAGAGUAACCAUUGGCUUGGCAAAUGUGUGUCUCUCUCUAUAUAUGUGUGCGCGCAAAUUAUGUAUCUAUAUCAAUAAAUAUAAGGAAUAAAAGCUCGCUCGCUUUGAUCAAUUGGAUUGUAGUACGAAAUAAAGUUAAACUGAUUGAUUCAUGUUUCAUUCUUAUUAUUUCAUAAUAUCCCAAACUGAUAAAGUAUACUUCUGCACCAAUUUAAAUAGCUUAUUGAUCACGCCCAACUAUGCCUUAUAAAAAGGAUUAAGCGGUCGUUGCAAAUAUAAUCCGGUUUACAAGUUCGGAGUCGAAUCCCACAGAGAACUAAGGCUUAGCUUCAACUAUUCAAUAUUGCUAAGAAGACAAGCUCGAACAAUUCCUAAGUUAAAAUAUUAAGAUUCCUAUAUCUAAUUAACUAAAUAAUUAAAUUAGUAGAUUAACAACUAAGGAUACUACGGGUCGGAGAAAAGAUUAAGGAGGUCUAGAGUUAUGAUUUCCCUAAUUGUCGGAAUCCUUCCCGCUAUGUCUUCUAUAAUUUUGCGUAAGUAUUCUCUACCUAUCAUGAGCGCUCUGACUAUUGUAAUUCUCUUCCGAGUAAUUACGACAAUUUACUAGACAAACUCUCCUGAGUUACGCUAGCUGGCUUUAAUUACAGCUCACUUAGAUCGCACCCAAGGUUUCGUUAUCCCUAAUCCCACCUUUAAACCCUUGGUUAUUGAUUCCUCACAUACGUCGGGAGUGAUGUUAUUUAACAACUACCAAAAUAUGCACUCUCUCCCGAGUAAUACAUACUAAUUAGGCACAACUAAUUGAGGAUCCUACAAUUAACUACAACAAGAACGUUGUUGAACAAAUAGAGAUUAUACUACGACUCAAUUAUAUAAAAACAUAACAAGAAUGUAUCCUACAAAAGGUUCCAUCAAAACCCUAGAUAACAAAUUAGUUAUUCAUAAUAGUAUGUAAAACUACAGUACUAAAAGUCAUAACCAACAAUGAAAAAUCGGAAGAGGAAGGAAAAACUCGUAGAAGAAUUCUCCGUCUUACUCCUAUCGUAUCUCUGCCUCCUAAGGUCGAAUCUGUGUCUCAAAUCUGCCCAACCUCCUCAAAAUAGCGUUUUUACAUGUAUUUGUACCAAGUAGGGUCGGGCCCAGACGAAAAUAUAUUCUCUCGCGCGAAAUAGAACACUCACUCUGUAAAAUUUGCACUACCGCGCCGCAUGGGGCAACGCACCAUGCGGUGCGGCAGUGGGAAAGUUUAGAUUGCUGAUUCUGACAGGCUGCAGGAAAUUUCCAUAGGCGCGGCACACCGUACCACACGCCGCGGUAGUGGGAAUUUGCAAAAACGUAAAACAUGAAAGUUGUAGCCCUUUCAAAUAGCUUUCCAACGAUAUAUUAUGGAGUCCAAACGGACUUCUGAGCAAAAACGUUAUGUGUAUUUUACUAGACAGUACGCCAUAUACCCGCUCGAUUCUUCGUUCGUUCUAACUAUCAUCCAUUGAUCCCCGAAUACGAUCCCGACUUAAUUCCUUGGACUUUUACUCAAACUUCAAAGCUCCAAAUCAUUUGAAUUCAUUCCAUAACAUCUACAUAGCUCGGAAUCACUCCUUCAAGGCAUAAAACACAUAAUUAGUGCAAAACACUAACGAUUAAAGCUCAAACUCAAUUAAAGUGCAGUAAAUUAGAGUGUAAUAAGUGACUAAAAUACGAAAUUAUAUCCUAUCAUCACUUAUGUUUUACCUUACACUAUGUAUGGAUCAUUGUUACCCAUUAUUUUAUAACGUAUUGUAGCGUAUCAUAUCGAUUUAUGAAUAUAACGUUUGAUAGAUUGUAUUCUUUGUUGUUGUUAAAUAAUAUAUUUUAUAUUUAGUUUGAUUGUAUCAUAUUGUACUACAACUGAUAAGUUUACUAAAAUAUCCUCAAUUGGCAGAGCCAAAAUUUUUAUCUAGGGGUUUCAAAACAUAAUAAAUUAGAUAUACAUCGAAAAGUCAAGGGAAGUCAACAUAUAAUAAAUAUACAUAUAACAAACAAAUUUAUCUAGUAGUAUGGUGUAGUUUUCCGGUGAAGGGGCAUCGAUUAACACCCCUUGGUUGAAUGUGGCUCCGCCACUGCCUUUAAUUAUUUUAAAUAUUAAAUUUAUUAUGAAUUACACAUAAAAAUAAAUAAAGGGAAAAUUAUUAAGGACAGAAGCUGGUGGCUGAUAAAACUCAAAGAGAGGAACGAAGAAAAAAAGGGGGCAGAAAGGAACAAAGAAACAAAGAAAGGAAUAAAGAAAGGGCCGAAACUAUUCUUGUUAUCUUUGAUCGUGGAGUUGGCAACAGCAGAACCAAUCUCGAAAAAAAAAUGACAAAGACGAAGAAGGUUAUAAGUUGAGAUUUGGUGUUAAAAAAAACAUAUAAAGGGUAAAAUAGAAUUAUGGAGUAAUAAGUUAUGACAUAAUUGAAAAGAAAAAUAGGAAAGAAUUCCACCGCCUUAAAUCGGUUGUUUAAAAAAAGGGUCUUUUUAUUGUUCUAGAACAAUGGAUUUAACAAUACAAUACAGUUAAUUUUAACUAAACAAUCAAAACAAACAUUAUUUUAGGAUAACAAUAAAAUACAAUAUAAUGGGUAACAAACACCCAAACAAGCUGUUAAAUUUGGUAUGAUUAACGUGUUGUACAUUAAUAUGAUGUUAUAAAUUAAUGCAACACUAGCGAAGGCUCUCAAGCAAUUCUUAUCUCUACCUUUCAUCUCAAACCAAGCUACUUGUGAAAUCAAUUUAUAUUUUCUUGCAUCAGGUAUAGUAUAUAGAAGUUUUCCCCAUUGAAUGAACUGCAGCCCCCCAACUGUUUGAACCUUCUAAAACGAUAUUGUUCAAAUCUAUGUCUGGCAUGUUUCAUGUAGUCAAAACUAUCAUUAUUGUUCGCAUUUGUAACCUAAUUAACAACAUCAAAAAGGUCAUUAGUUUUCCAUAAUUAGUGUAACAAAUAAGAAAUUGAGAAAAAGUAAGUCACUUCAUUUUUUCCAUUUUUUAUGGCACAAUUUAAUUUCUUUAAUAGUUUGUUCAAAAUAAGAAUGACGCGUUAAUGUAUUUGGAGACAAUUUUUACUUAUUUCCAUUAUACGUUUAAGAACAUGCUUGAGAAAUGUCAUGAUUGUAUACUAGUAAAAUCAGGGAUAUAGCAUACCCUGAUUUCCCGGAGAAGAAAGCGGAAAAGGGGCAUGGACACGCGAGACUGAAAUCGAGGCCGGAAACCUUUCGCUUCGAGACACAUGAAAGAAGAACGAUGUGUUCAUCACCGGGUAUGAUGAAGCAACGCUCCCCGGACCCAGAACGAGUUCUAAAACCUCGAAAAACUCGAUAAACGAUUACACACGACGGAUAAAGGGCCGUGAUAUUCAUACCUCACCAGAUAUCAUGGUGCAGAUCUUGCUCGAUGUCGAUUACGAAUCAGUAAUUAACGAGAAAGGAAAUUUUUUGCUCUUUUUAGACUUGUUCUAGGCAUGAAACUCUCCUACUAUAUAAAUGGGAGGUUUUUUCUUUUUAUGGACACAUUGUAACACGCAAAUCAGGGCACUACAAAUUCAUUUUAUGCUAUUUAGCCAUUGCAAAAGUUCGUACUUAACUAUUUAUUCUUCAUUCGUAAUUGGGUUCGAACCAAGGGUCCAAUCGAGGGCAAAACUACUAUUCAACCUAGGCUCGAGCUAGGCUGUAACAUUACGACUGGUUUGAUCAUUCAUUUUGUCUUUAACUCAUUUAUCUAGUAUUCCUGAUUAUUUUUGUUGAAUCAAUCCACAUAUCCUUAAAACCGCAUACAAAUUUAAUUGUAAUCCGAUUUAAGGCUAAACAGUUUGGUGCCCACUGUGAGGCUAAGGAUAAUAGUGAUAAUUUGAUAAAAAUUGCCAGAACAUACCCUAUUUUACGCUUGCUCUUUAAAGUCUUAAUUUUAGGUUAGCCCAAAAAUGUCGAACUCUCAGUCUGCCCACUUGAACGUUGAUGUUGAGUCUCGCCAUCAUGGCGAAAUAUUAAUUUGCUACAUAGAUACAAGUUACCUCUUACUGAUCCCAAUGGUGUCCCAGUGGACGAUUCGGUUGAUGCUAACUCACAUGUGGCCAUCGACGUUAAUUUGCCAACUGAUCCCGAAAACAAUGUUCACGGAGGACCCCGACCAACAGCUCGAGAAGCGCCAGAAGACAAAGGUGAUAGGGUAAGCCUGCGACUAAUCUUCGAAAUGUUGCAGGCUCAACAGGAGGCAAUAACGCAGCUACAGAAUCAAGGCCAUGCCCCCAGUAGGGUCAAACCUAAACAAUCCUGGAAAAGCACUCAAAGAAAUGAACAAAUCACCGAGAGACCGAGUGAAGCUGAGUCUGAGGUCAACUCCAAGAUAGUAAAAAUGCUUGAAGCAUUAACGAAGCGAGUGGAAUCAGGUGAGAAGAAAAUUGUGGGUAAUGACAAGAAGGUGGAAACAUACUAUUCCAGGGUCGAUCAAAUUCCAGGAGCACCCCCGAUAUUGAAAUGAUCAGAUUCCAAGAAGUUUAUUCAGAAACCUUUUCCUCCGAGCACGACACCGAAGCCAAUCCCAAAGAGGUUUUGUAUGCAUAAUAUCCCCAAGUAUAACAGAACCACGGAUCAUCCGAAUGAUCAUGUGACCUCCUAUACAUGCGCAAUCAAAGGGAACGACUUGGAAGAUGAUGAAAUCGAGUCGGUAUUACUGAAGAAGUUUGGGGAGACUUUGUCCAAAGGAGCGAUGAUAUGGUAUCACAACAUAACCCCAAAUUUUAUUGACUCAUUUGCUAUGCUUGCAGAUGCUCUCAUGAAGGCUCAUGCCGGUGCCAUCAAGGUCGAGACUAGAAAGUCAGACCUUUUCAAGGUUAAACAAAGAGACAAUGAGAUGUUCAGGGAGUUCGUGUCGAGGUUCCAGAUGGAAUAGAUGGACUUGUCUUUGGUUGCAGAUGAUUGGGCCGUUCAGGCAUUCACUUAGGGGCUUAACACCCAAAGUUUCUUGGCCUCUCAACAGCUAAAUCAAAAUUUGGUAGAGUACUCGGCGGUGACCUAGGCCAACGUCCACAACAGGUACCAGUCAAAGAUCAUGGUCGAGGAUUACCAACUUGGAGCUCCUUCUGGUCUGUGUACACCAUCGGCGGAUGACAGGUCUAAGAGAGUUGUUGAUCAUGAUCCAAGACCGGUCUAGGAUCGGUACUAACCAUAGAGUGGGGACCGAAGGGGAAAUGGGUCCGGGUAUCACCUAAUAAGGGACAAGAAGAGAAGCGAUCAAGGACCCAAUAGUCGAGGUAUGAUGAGUAAAAAUGGUUUCGACAAGACGCUCGGGGGUAGGGAAGCACAGAGGCUAUUGUAGUAUAACUUCAUCGUUGAUGCUGCCAGCAUCGUGUCAACCAUCAGGCGUAUCAAAGAGACCAAGUGGCCCUGACUAUUACAGUCCAACACUACUCAAAGAGAUCCUAACUUGAUGUGUAAGUAUCACAACACUCAUGGUCACGGGACCGAGGAGUGCCGACAAUUGAGAGAAAAAGUUCCCCGGUUAUUCAACAACGGACACCUUUGAAAAUUUCUGAGUGAUCGAGCCAAAAAUCACUUCAGGAAUAGGGACACUAACAAACAGGUCAAACAAGAGGAGCCUCAACACAUCAUCAACAUGAUCAUCGGAUGGGUCGAUGUCUCCUAAAGGCCAAUAAUAAAGCGCACUAAAGUAUCUAUCACAAGGGAAAACGCACCCGAGAUUAUGUCCUGGAGGGAACCAUUUCGUCCAGCGACGAGGAUGCUGAGGGCAUCGUACAACCUUACAACGAUGCACUGGUAAUAUCAUCCAAGAGACAAAGUUCUAUGUGAUCGAAGAGGACAUGAGGUAUAACGCUAUAUUCGGAAGGCUGUGGGUUUACAACAUGAUGGUGGUACCUUCGAACUUGCAACAUUGAAAUUCCCUUCACCGAUAGGAGUCAAGAAGGUCUAUGGAGCAGCCGACCACAAAGGAGAUAUUCGCAGUCGACCAAGUAAUCCCAGUGCCUACAAUUUCAACAUCAAAGAACAUGAAGCUAACCAAAAAGCAAGAAACUAAAUAGCAAUCACUGAUGCCGAUCUCGGAUGAACUAGAGGAACGAGGAGUAGAUGAGGAGGAUGAUUACAGAGUUCCAAGAUCGUUCAUAGUUACUAAUGACACCAACACUACCAAAUCGUUGAUCGAAGAGUUGGAUCAAGUCAUAUUAAUCAAACACCUACCGGAUCGAAAGGUAUACUUGGACAUGGGGUUAACCCCCGAGCUCAGAAAAAAACUCAUUGAUUUUCUUAAAUCUAAUAUAGAUUGUUUCGCUUGGUCCCUACUUGACAGGACAGGGAUCCCACCGGAUAUACCUACUCAUAAGAUGAGUUUGGACACGAAGUUCCAUUCAGUUAAGCAAAAGAGAAGGCCGCAGUCCGAGGUCAAACAUGCGUUCAUCAAGGAUGAGGUAUCCAAACUCCUUAAAAUAGUGUCCAUCUAGGAAGUUAAAUACCCAGACUGGUUAGCUAAUGGAAGUUUAUAUUGACGAUAUGUUAGUCAAAUCCCUACAAGCAUAUGACCAUUUGAAACAUUUGCAGGAGACCUUCGACAUACUAAAGAAAUACAAUUUGAAGCUGAAUCUGGAGAAGUGCGCAUUCGGGGUUGGAUCGGGAAAAUUACUCGGGUUCAUGGUAAUUACAGGAAAUGUAAUUAGGCAAUCUAUUAAAACUGUAAAAUUAACUAACAACGAGGCCGAGUAUGAGGCCAUGAUUAUAGGUCUAGAAUUAGCUAAAAGCCUUGGGGUCGGGUAAUCAAAGCUAAGUGCGACUCCCUCCUUGUGGUAAAUCAAGUUAACGGGAAGUUUGAAGUAAAAGAAGAACAAAUGCGAAGGUACUCGGACAAAUUACAGGUAACCCUGCAUCAAUUCAGGGAAUGGACCUUGCAGCACGUACCCCAAGAUUAGAACAAUGAGGCCGAUGCAUUGGCUAACUUGGGAUUGUCGGUUGAUGCCGAUGUAUUUGGUUCGGGAAUAGUAGUGCAGCUAAUGAAGUCGGUGAUAGAAAAAGGCCAUGCGGAAGUAAACUCAACAAGAUUAACUUGGGAUUGGAGGAACAAAUACAUAGACUACUUGAAGACCGAAAAAUUGCUUUUUGAUCCCAAUGAGUCAAGAGCCUUGCACACCAAGGCUGCCAGAUUUAGCUUGGUCAAAGAUGCAUUGUUCAGAAGAACCUUCAACGGCCUGCUAGCCCAGUGCUUGGGAUCGGGAGAGACCGAAGACGCCAUGAGAGAAGUUCACAUAGGCACUUGUAGGAACUAUUUGGGGGCAGAAUCUUUGGUUUAGAAAUUAAUUAGGGUCGGCUAUUACUGGACCAAAAUGGAGAAAGAUGCGAAGGACUUCGUAUGGAAAUGCGACGAUCGCUAGAGACAUGCCCAGAUGAUCCAUUAACUAGGAGAAAUGCUCCAGUCGAUUUUGUCCCCAUGGCCAUUUAUGAAGUGGGGAAUGGACAUCGUCGGUCCCCUACCAUGGGCACCCGAUAAAGUUCAAUUCAUACUAUUCAUGACCGAGGAAGAAAAAAGUCAUUGAUUUAAUCCAGGACCACAUAAUAUGUCGAUUUGGGAUACCAGUCGAGAUCGUUUGCGAUAAUGGAAAGCAAUUCAUCAUCAGCAAGGUGAAUAAAUUCUUCGAAGAUCACAAGAUCAAGAAGAAAAUAUCAAUGCCUUUUCACCCUAAUAGGAACGGGCACACAGAAUCAACAAACAAGACCAUACUUCAAAACCUGAAAAAGAUGUUGACCUGUGCGAAAGGGAAAUGGAGGAAAAUCCUACCCGAAGUCCCGUGGGCAUACCAUAUGACUUCAAAAUCUAGCACCGGGACCAUCCUGUUUUUCUUAGUCUACGGAGCAGAAACCUUAAUACCAAUCAAGGUGGGAGAAUCGAGCCUCAGGUUCCAGUAUGCUUCUGAAGAGCCAAGCGGCAAGGCCAUGAUCAUGAGCCUGGAACUAUUGGAUGAAAGGAGGGAAGCCGCCCUGGUCCGGUUAGCCGCCUAGAAACAAUGAAUAGAAAGGUAUUACAACCGAAGAGCCAGCCUCCGACACUUUCAAGUAAGGAACUUGGUGUUGAGGAAAGUAACAUUACACACUAGUAACCUGAACGAAGGGAAGUUGGGAUGAACUGGGAAGGACUGUAUCAAUUUGUCAGAAUAACCGGCAAAUGCUUGUAUAAACUCGAAGCGAGAAAUGACAUACAACUACCGAACAACUAUAAUAUGACACAAUUAAAGCGGUAUUACUGCUAAGUUAUGAAAUCAAUUACUUUUUAAUCAUGUUAUAAAUCGAACUAGAGUACGGAUAUGGCUAUUAGGUCUGAAAGCACAUGUUGCACACUUUUUCCUUGAACUGGUUUUAUCUCAAAGUAGGUUUUUCGGCAAGGUUUUUAAUGAGGCAACUGUAAAAUGUACUAACUUAGAUUUGAAGACUGGUUUCAAACCGAAGUCAAUGACUGUUUACUUCAGGCCAACAAUAUCUAAGCCCUCACAAGUUCGAUCUUGAAUACCGGGGGCCAUUACCCUCGAAUUAAGGUCUUUAGCAAGGGAAAAAGAAAACUUUAUGUGCUAAAAGCUCAGGCUUAGUGGUUAGGAUUUAUUGUAAGGGCCAAACGAUCGUAUGAACCGUGCCCACAUAGUCCACUCAAGCCACGACACAAGUUUUUAUGCGUUUUUGAUCGUGUACCUUGCAUACUAAGAAUUGAAAGAAAUUUCCACUUUCCUUACACUUUGUUACUACGCGUUUUUGCUUUUUCGAACCCAUAUCCUAAAAUCCCAUGGGUUACCCUACUCAGGGAUUGUCUCCUUAUGAAAAUUUGGACGACCCAGGCUACCGAAUCAUGGAGGCACCAAACCUAUUAGGCAAUGCCAAAAUAUAAAAGGCUACGACCAUCCUAAAAAGGGCUCGGAGACAUCCGAAGUUCAUAACCAGAAAGUAAGUCCUUUACAAAAAUUCAAAACCUACUAAAAGGUCACCCUCGGCAAGAACAUCGUCUAAAAACACUUAAGCAUAUUGAAAAACUCCGGUCUCACUGAGGGUUUGAAGCCGCAAGGAAACAAAGUUGCAUCGAAGUCGAGCAUCAUUCGAACCUCCAAAAACGAAUGCCCCAGAACUACAUCUGAUUCUAUGCUAAGGCAUCAAAAAUAAUACGCAAACAUAAAUUACAAGAAGAUGCUAGAAAAGUAAAGACACAAUAUUCCUAGAAAGGGAAAAAAUUUAUAUAUGUUCCAAAGUAUAUUUACAAAGGCCCGAUCUAAUUGCCUUAGAAUGCAUAAGAAAAAAAAUAGGAAAAUACUAAUGCUCUAUGCCUGGUCUUCACCGGGGCUCGACUCAUUGCCAGAAAUGUCGGAACCCUCGGAGCCCUCAGAACUCUCAAAGACUUCGUGACUCUGAGGCUCGUAGAGCUCAUUUUCCUCGGCCUUGAGCCUCCUAGCUUCUUCAAUCUUGGAUGAUAGGCCAAAACUAUGGGCAUGGAUCUCUUCGAGGGUCUCUCUUCGGGAUAGCCGCUUUAUGUAUUCAGUCUUCGUCUUUAAGCGGGUCUCAGUUGCCUCCAUAUCGGCCUUGUGCUGGGCCAUCAUUUCCUUGGUAUCAGCAGAGGUUGUAUCUAAUUUUGACCUCAAUGCCGCAUAUUCUCUCCCGAGAGCAUCCCGGUCAAUGACGAAUGAGUUCAGCUGUUCCCGAAGAUCAUCAUUCAGUCGAGACCACUUAUCAGCUUUGUCUUUCGCUAUCCAAAGUUUGUUCUCAACCGAUGCCAACUCCGCCUUCAUAAUUUCUUUCUCGGAAGCCAGUAGGUUCAUCCUACCAUUCCACACUUCGUUCGUGGCCUUGGCCUCGUCUAUCUCAGCCCACAACUGGUUGAUCAGCUCUAUCUUCUGUUGGACCUGUGAAGCCGUACUGUUAGCCACCAUGACUAAGUGCUCGUUUUUAGCUUCAAAGAUCUUUACCUUCUCAACCAGGUUGUCGUGUUCCUGCUUCACUGUUAAGGCCUCCUUUUGAUCUUUUUCCAGCUCGGCCUGGAGAAUCGGGAGGUCAUUAAGGGCCCCGUCUUGUUUCUCAUUAAGAGCUCUGUAUAUGUCCUUCUUACGGACCUGCUUUUUGAACUCGAACUUGAGUUGGCUAAUCUCCAAGCGGUACCGGAGGACACUUUCAUGAUGAAGCACUGAAGCCUGUAAAAUAAUGAAAUUAGUAGAGGACAUCAAAAACCUAAGUGGGGUUCACAUAGGGGUAUAAAAGGGUUAACGCCUUACCCGGUUCAGCGCCUGAUAUGCUUCCUUAAAGAGACUUGAUGUGUCCACCUCCUUCAUCUUUUCCUGGUACUCUACGGUCACCAAGCAUCAGAGGUAGCUAGAUACACCCACCGGAGCAUACAGGACUUGACGAGCGCAAAUCACAUACUUAAAUAUGCUCGCUAGUUGAAUAUAGUAUAAUAUAACAUUGUAUCCACAUGGAUUGGAAUUAAAUAGUAUUAUCAUAGUUUGUAGCUAGAUUUCUAUCCAAGAUGCUCAACAAUUUAGAAUGUUGAUUUAAAACUAAAAUUAACUAAGAUUCUAAACUAUUGACUACUGACAAACAAAGCAAGUAAUAAUCAAAGAAGGUUAUUAAUUGGGAGAAGAUAGGGUUGAUAGGAUAGGUGUAAGACAAAUGUCUGGGAUCUAACUCUAGUUAAUUCACUUCUAAUGUUCAAGUGAGUCUCUCGAAUUCACUUGGUUAUUAAUUCAAUUGUUUAGUAGAACUCCUCUCUCGAUUAAGUCUCAAACUCACAAGAUGAACCAAUUUAAGCUCGUGAAGAUAUGCAAGAAUUCGUAGUGGAUUGGUCUUUAAGAGAACCUCUCUCGAUUAUCCUCCUUACUAGGCUUAAUCAACAAUUAAACUAGCCUUUUCCUAUUACUAAAAAGAAUUAAUGAAUUCAACCAACAAAAUAGAAUGCAAAAAUAUCACAAGUUAUGCCUCUCUCGGUUACAUGAACAAGUGAAUAUAGAUGCAACGGAUAACACAUCUAAAACGAUUCAAUAUAUAAAAACUAGAGUUAUAAUCCAUAACAAGUAUCAAGACACCAAAUCCAUCAAACUCUAAAGAGAACUACUCCAUAGAUAUGAAGUAAUUCAUCACAAAUGUUUAAGUUAAAGGAAAACAUAAUACGAUCCAAACUCUUAUCUUGAGUGAGGAUUGAAUGAUGAAAUCCUUAUGCUUUUGCUUCUCCACCUCCUCUUUGGAUUCCUUAGGUCUAAGAUGUGUCAAAAGUCCUAAAAAUAACAUUUUCCCAUGUAUAUAUACCAAGUAGGGUCGGGCCCAGACGAAACCACCUUCUCCUACGCGAAAUAGGACAUUUACUCCAUAAAAUUUGUAUAGGCACCGCAUGGGGCGACGCGCCAUGCGGUGCAGCAGUGGACUUUAUUUGGGAGCUUGCAAUUCACAACAAUCAGCAACAAUUUGGGCAGUCUCACCACACCACGCGCCUCGGCUAUGGGUUUUCCCAGAGCUCACCUUUUUGCUUGAUUUUUGAAGUUCAGACGUGGUUCUUGAUCCUGAACACGAUCCCGACUUAAUCCUUUGAGAUUUUACUCAUACUUCAAAGCUCCAAAUAGCUCGAAUUAUCUCCAUAACAUCUACAUCACUCGGAAUCAGUCCUACAAGGCAUAAAACACAUAAUUAUUACAAAACACUAGCAAUUAAAGCUCAAACUCAAUUAAAGUGUAGUAAAUUAGAGUGCCUUAAACGAGUAAAACACGGCUUUAUAGCCUACCAUCAACACCCCACACUUAAACCAUUGUUCAUCCUCAAGCAAUCAAACUACACUUUAUAUAGACACGACCUUAUUGAACAACUUUCCUAACUCAUCACACCAAGAAUAUUUAAAAUAGAUUAAGCACAAUAGUGUAACAUCUUCACCUCAGGAUUUGACUCAAAAGCACCACGUAUUAUUCAUAACCCACUCAUGCAUAGAGAUCGACGACAAUACCUUUUCUUUAUGAAUCAACUUCCCUCACACAAGAUAGAAAGAAUUCACUCACUCACAGAAACAAUAUUCAUAUGCAACAGAAGAUGAACCAUAGGCCUGUCUGUAGUGUACUACUCUACUAAUUGAGCUCAUUCAGUCAAGCAUUAAGUAGGACUUUAAUUGGUUGUAGUGUAGGCUGCGGGACGAGUAUGAUACAUUUAGAUAUAAAACUGACAACACCUCCCUAAGCACUUUAUUACAUAUACUUUAACAUUCAAAACCCCACACUUAUGUUAAAUCAUAACUCCACGUUCACAUUAAUAUACAUUGAAUCCCUACUUCUUUAAGUGCAGUUACAUCAUCAGUUACCACUAUCAAGGAAUAUUUUUUGCAACAAUACAACUAUAAUUCCGUUUUCUUUAUCAAUUCAAGUGGCUCUUACUUUUUCAAAACAGUGUACCUUUCUCUUAUUUCAUUAGUUCCACUCAAAAACCAAAUCAACCACCCCACACUUCAACUUUUACCAAGUUCAUAACAAUUUAAGUACUCAUGGGAGGUGAAAAAGUUCAAAUAGAUGGUCAACUCAAACAAAUGGGUAAGGCUUGUAAUGUGGUUGCCAAAGAAAUUGGAUUAUAGACUCAAUGGGGUGAACUACAAUACAUAACAAUUAGGCGGGUAAAAGCAUAUAACUGACUCAAUAAAGAAUUGCCUCUAUCACUUUCAAGACUGAACAAAACUACUAUUUCGCUUUGCACACACACGGGGAAAGUUCUAGACAUCAAAUGCAAUGCACAAAAUAGCACAAAAUCUCACACACACAUGGCAGAUAACUCACUCAGGAUUGGACUCAUCAAGACACUCUAGUCAAAGAAGUUAAGCAAAGUUAAGAUCAUACAAUUUAAGGUACUUAUACAAGAGUCAGAAAAUGAGUCUAAGCAUCACAACUAAAGCAUUUACUAUCAUCAAGGCAUAAUAAAGUCAAGAUAUAAUUCUUUCAUUUUAAAUCAUAGCACAAGGUUUCCUACUCCUAACAAAAACAAAACUAACUACACCCGAUUCAAACAAAACUCUUGGAAAAGAACCACUGCACAAAGAAAAACUAAGGGAGAAUUGUUACACUACCUACAAAAGAAAAUCUUUUUGGUCUUUUUCCUUCCGACUUUAAUCCCUCAAGAAACUGGUCGGUAUGAUAUCCAUCGUCGAGAAAAAUCAAAAAUAUUAAAAAUUUUAUGUUUUUUCAAUUUUUUUUCUAUCUAACUACUACAAAUAACAAAACAAAAAGUAAAACUAAUAUACAUACAACAUACAAAUAUCCCUCAUCUCACACUUCAAGUUGUGGCAUAUUCCCUAAGCAUCAGGCAGAUGAAACUUCUCUGAAUUUUCUUCUUUUCCGAGAACUUAUGAACUCCACCCCUAAUUCUGAAUUCAUUCCUCAUUUUUGCUCCUUGGAAUUCUUUAUGGAGCUCAUUAAACUCAAUUCUUCUGAGGAUACCUACAAGACCCGCUCUUUUCUUUCUUUCUUGUCCUCAUCUUGAGCAGUAAAUUGCUCAUUUAUGAUCAUCCUCAACUUGUUCCUGCAUUCUUUCACAUGAUCAAUCCAUGUAUCUUCAUGUAAAUCACCAAAAAUAAAUCCACAUGAUCAGGGUUAGAAUAAGAAAACAAAGAAGAAAGAUCAAGUGAAUAUUCCUCUGGUAUGUCCAAGACCAUUUGUUUCUCAUUCUCUUCUACUACAUGUUGUAGAUGUGGAAAGGUGGAUGGGGGUUUGAACUCUUCUUCCGUGGUUUGACACUCAAAACAGCCUUAUUUUCAAUCAUCUCAGUUGAAUCAGAGUCCUCUUGUAUUGUGGAAAUCUCCGUCUGUAGACGCUCAUCCUCUUGGGUAGGUUCAUUCUCGUAGGGUAUCUCCUCCAUAUAUUCACCAUCACAACGCAAUGAGCUUUCUGAAAGUGUACUUAUUAUUAGACUUUCUUGCAUUGUUAGGUUGUUAAUGGCGUCAUCAUCUUGUGUAAAUCUCUCUUCCACCUUAUUUAUUAACUUAUACACAAGCUCUUCUAAACUAACAUUCUCCCCUUGAGGUGCGUGUCUGGCUUUGCUCCCAUUCAAGUUAUAAUAAGGGUAUUCAUCCUAACCAGAGUCAAGAUUGUGCCCAUAUGAAUCCUCAUGCCUGUAUGGACUAGAAACAGAGUGAGACUGUUCAAAAUACGAACCAUAGAAAGAAUACAUACCUGCUUUACAGUCAACCCAUAGAUGAUUUCCACUGCAUUUAAAACACAUAGCAGACCGCUGAUAAUAUUCAGCUUCUAACUCUUCAACCGUUUUCUUAGGCUUGUAUUACUCCAUCUUCACAGUAUUUAGAGUUCAAUAUCUACAGUAUUUUUCUCCAACAUGUUAGGUACUAAAAAACCAAUCUUGAAAAGAAGUUAACUAAUAAAGAAAAUAAAAUAGAAAGGGAAAAAGAAAAGAAAAAACAAACAAACUUAAUUCCUGAAUUAGCACCAAAAACUAUUUCAAACACCAUUUAUUUCCAAUCCCCGGCAACAUCGCCAAAAUUUGAUGAGUGCAAAAUACACACUUAAAUAUGCUCGCUAGUCGUAUAUAGUAUAAUAUAAUAUCGUAUCCACAUGGAUUGAAGUUAAACACUAUUAUCGUAGUUUGUAGCAAGAUUGCUAUCCACGAGGCUCAAAACAUUAAAAUUAUGUGAUUUAAAACUAAAAUUAACUAGUGACAAACAACGCACGUAAUAAUCAAAGAAGGUUAUCAAUUGGGAGAAGAUAGGGUUGAUAGGAUAGGUGCAAGACAAAUGUCUGGGAUCUAACUCUAAUUAAUUCACUUAUAAUGUUCAAGUGAGUCUCUUGGAUUGACUUGGUUAUUAAUUCAAUUGUUUAGUAGAACUCCUCUCUCGAUUAAGUCUCAACCUCACAAGAUGAACCAAUUUAAGCUCGUGAAGAUAUGCAAGAAUUCGUAUUGGAUUGGUCUUUAAGAGAACCUCUCUUGAUUAUCCUCCUAACUAGGUUUAAUCAACAAUUCAACUAGCCUCUUCUGAUUACUAAGAAGAAUUAAUGAAUUCAACCAACAAAAUAAAAUGCAAAAAUACCACAAGAUAUGCCUCUCUCGAUUAUAUGAACAAUUGAAUAUAGAUGCAACGGUUAACACAUCCAAAAUGAUUCAAUACAUAAAAACUAGAGUUAUAAUCCACAAACAAGUAUCAAGACACCAAAUCCAUCAAACCCUAAAGAGAUCUACUCCAUAUAUAUAGAGUAAUUCAUCACAAAUACGUUUAAGUUAAAGCAAAACAUAAAACGAUCCAAACUCUUGUCUUGAGUGAGGAUUGAAUUAUAAAAUCCUUGUGCUUUUGCUUCUCCACUUCCUCCUUAGCUUCCUUAGGUCUAAGAUGUGUCAAAAAACUUCAAAAUAAUAUUUUUAUAUGUAGAUAUACCAAGUAGGGUCGGGCCCAGAUGAAAUCACCUUCUUCUAGCCGAAAUAGGAUUCUGACUCAGUAAAAAAUGCACAGGCGUGCCGCAUAGGCUGACGCGCCAAGUGGGAAAGCAGUGGUCUUUAUCUGGGAGUUUGCAAUUCAUAACAGAUAGCAACAAUUUGGGCAGUCGUGCCACGCCACGCGCCACGACUGUGGGUUUUUUCUCAGAAUUCACCUUUAUGCUUGAUUUUUGAAGUUCAGACGUGGCUCUCGACUCCCGAACGCAAUCCCGACAUAGUGCUUUGGGCUUUACUCAGACUUCAAAGCUCCAAAUAGCUCGAAUUAACUUCGUAACAUAUACAUCACCCGGAAUCACUCAUACAAGGAACAAAACACACAAUUAGUGUAAAACACUAGCAAUUAAAGCUCAAACUCAAUUAAAGUAAAGUAAAUUAGAGUGCAUUAAGCGACUAAAACACAAGUUUAUAGCCUACCAUCAAGACUCGGGCAUCCUUCAGGAUUAAGAGAACAAUCGUUCUUUUGCGCUCGGGGGUCCAUGCUUGGAACGGGAAAUUGCUUCACUAGUUUUGUGCUCGAACUCGGCCUGCCAGCUCCCGAGGGCACGUAUUUCUUCAAAACCUCUAGGUGACUAAUCCCGAAAAAGUCUUCUAGUACAGCCAUGUCCAUGCCCUCUAAAAAUGCAUUGAGGGUAUCAUUUGGACCCUGCGCCCCCUCACUUGUCUUUUCUUUGUCUGCUUGGGCCUCUUCGAGCAUGGACUUGAUAUUGGAGGGCAUCUCCAUGAUGUCAAAUGACGUUAUUCACUUCCUUCGGAAGAGGAGCGGCUUUCUGGGAGGCCGCAACCUCCACCCCCCUCAGGUUCUUAGAGGGGUAUUGACCUCAUGGUCCCCUUUCUCGGCCGUCGCCUUCUCCCCCUCAUUAAGGAUCAACCCAUGAGCGACGAAGUGGUCGUCUUCUUUGGACUCAUCCUUAAGCUAGUAGAGAGAGUCAAGAUCUGGUACCUUGGACUUGGUGGUCUUCUUGGGUUUCCGAACCCGGGUGGCCACUCUAUUCUUCCUCUUUGCCUCAGUGUCCGGGGAACAUGAGGACUUUCUCUUUCUUAUCUUCUCCUCCUUUGUGGCAGCCCUGGGUUGUCCUGUAAUGGAGGGCUUUCCAGAAAAUGAUGCAUCCUCAUCCUCAUCCAGCGGCCUAAGUUCGAUGGUCCUAGGAGACCUUUAAGAAAAUAGAAAAGGUUAGCACUAUGUAAGUUGAGAGCAUAGUGAUAACUAUUUAGGAAAGAACCUCACUAUGAGAAUGGGCCUCCCAUUUGCCCUUCGAAAGGUUGUUCCAUGUGCGCUCAGAGUACAUCAUCUUCUUACAUAUCCCCUUGAUCCAUUCCUUUAACUAGGGGAUUGCAUCAGGAACUUGGGCAACAACUGCACGGCUACAAAUACAUGCAAUGAGAGAAUGAGUAAAAAGGAAAAAAUACCCAAGAAAGACGAUACUUAUGGGAUGUGUUCCACUCCUCAGGGAAUGGUAGCAACUCGAGGAGAAUUAGGUUGUCAGUUUUCACUAGAACAAACCUCCCUUGCCAGCCUAGGUCUCGGUCCUCGUCAAUGCUCGAGAAAGGAGUCUUGCUUGCUCGGCAAACAAGGUUGAUCAGUUUCCCUCAGAAGAUUUGGGGACUGUACAUGCGGAUUAGAUGGUUGAGGGUGAACCAAAGAGCUUUGGUAUUAUUCACAAAAUGGCAUAAGAAAAUCACGAUCGUCCAGAAGGAUGGGUGGAUUUGCCCAAGGCACACCUGGUACCUUUUGCAGAAAGCAAGGACUAUGGGCUCCACCGGGGCGAGCAUGAAGGGGUAUGUAUAAACACUCAGAUACUCCUUCACGUGAUUGGCAAUAUUGUCAUUAGGUCCGGGAACGACCACGUCCUUUCCCUCCCAUUUACAGUCCGCUAAAACUACAGGUAGGGUUUCUUCAGUGAUGGAGCAUAUGUAUCUCCAUGAUCCCUCGCCUCAGUCUUGUUAUCUAGAGGCCUUCUCGACCUUGAAAUUGUCCCCGAUAGAGCAGCCCCAGGGUAUGAAGCUCUUCAUAGGGGGGUUCCUGAGCCACCUCGGGAACGUCCACCUCAGCAUCUGUGGUUGGGUGGGAAGAUGAAGGGGCAGCCUGUUGAGGCACUGACUUAGAAGUUUUUGCCAUUGUAAUCUGGAAAAUAUAGGUUUGAAGAAAAUAUGAAGAUUUGAAGAUGUUAUGAAGGUAUGGCGGUCUAGGUUGAAAGAUCAAUGAACAAUGUACGAAGAUAUGGAGAAGUUAAAGCCGUCAGAAUGUUCGAAGGCAAAGUCUAGAAUCGGAAAGUGGAAGAAGUGAUAGGGAUUGAGGCUUUUAUAGGGGAAAAGGAAAUCAAUGCGCGAUGUCUCACAUUCGAAGACAGUCAGACGAUGACUGACACGUGCUCCAAGUCAGAACAACGCAACUGAUGGGACGUUUUGAUUUACCCGUCAUCUCGGUUAUAACGUACGAUGGAAGGAACCUGGGUUCAUCUAUCGUUUCCCAUUGUUUCAACAAACCUACUCUCCAGAAAAUGAGGGGACUGUCUGUAUAUGGAUAAAAUCAUGGAUAGAGCUGUAGACAACAAAUUUACGUCGAGAAAAUAAAAUCAAGAUCGAAAAUAUUGCAGCAUUCGUAGUAUUUAAUUUCAAAUAAUAUGAGUGUACAAUCUCUAUGAUUCCUCUAAUUCUACUUUUCUAAUAUAAAUUCAAAGUCAUCUAAGCUUGAUCUUGGAUUUGAAUUUGAUUUAUCCGUCGCGAAUAAUUUGAUUUUUGCCAUGAGUUGAAUCACGAACAAGUAGCCUUGAUCUUGAAUGCCUUGUAUUUAAUUUGAAUUCAUUCUUGAUCUUGAAUACUUGAAAUUUAUGUUGAAGUGCUUGAAUGCUUGAACACUUGCAGUUUGUAGAGAAUUGUGGCCUUUGAUCCACGAGCUCCCUUGUGUCUUAUUGUUAUAACUUCUAGUGUCUUUCUGAGUUAUGAAGACCCGUAUUUAUAGUUGUGGAAGGAAGAGUUAUGACAAGAACAAACUCUUUUCGGCCAAUCAAUUUGAAGUGUGACAAGGCCACAUUUGAUUGGCCAGAACAUGUCACUUAUACACGUGGCGCAGUUUAUUGGCCUUUUAAUGUGACUUAGCAUGCCUUGUCAUUUUGACACAUUAAUCCUAUUGGAUGUUUAGUUUUACUUGGCGUGCCAUGUCAUUUGACACGUGGCACCAAACUGAGCCUCUAGGAAGAUGAUAUAUUGGACUUAAUGAAGUGGCCUCAUUGUAUUUAGCCGAGUUAAAUGGGCUAGCCCAAUGUAUUAAGACUUAUUUAUUUAACUCAUAUAAAUUGGACAUGUACAAUUGAUCUAAUUAUAUUAGCCCAUAAUAUUUAUUUGGACCAAAAUAUAUUUAAUUUAAUGUAUAGUCCAAACUAUUUUUAUGAAUUUAAUUCUCAUAAAAUUUAUAUGUCUACAAAUGCCCCUACUUUUAGACUAAUCGAAACUCAAAAAUUGGACUUGAAGUACACAUAGAAGAUAUUUUUCAUCUUAAAAGUUAUCCGGAAUUGAACUUUCUCUUUCCUUGAAUCAUGAAAAUAAUUUCCAUAUUACUAAUGGAAUGUACAAGAAUAUAUAAUGACCAAACAUUAGUCAUCAUAGGACAACUUUGUGAUAACUUUUGUCGUUCUUUACAUUAAAGAAAAGUUUUCAUUUUAAUUUGACAUAGCAAGUUGUAAUACCAAGGCAUGUAAGUAUCCAUGAUUAGAAGACAUUUAUCCAUAUAGCAUUGCCGUCUCGAUCACCGAACAUACCAGGAGUGCUUGAAAAACUCCAAAUCCUACUUGAACUCUGCAUUAUGAGUAAGCAACCUGGCACAUUAACUGAAUCCUUCUAGGAGACCAAUUGUAUAAUAUUCUAACUCCCACAUCGUUAAUAUGCUCUUGCACGAAGUCUCUGACAUCUAUAUAUAUAUGGAUACAUGCUCUCCAAUCGUGAAUAUCAAUUCCUUGCAAGCUUGUACGAAUUUCUGUUUGACAGGUAAAAAUAUUUUGCCUUCUCUUUUUUGCGUAAUUUCUUCUCGUCUUUUUUUUUUUUGCAUUCCAAGUAAGGAUAAAUGCUUUCAUGCACGAAGAAGGUGAUCUUAGGGUGUGAGGAGAUGAGUAUCCAUACCCGCUCAAAUAUCGGAGAGAUUACUCUCAAGGUGACCCAAAUAUCGGAGAGAUUACUCUCAAGGUAGCCCGACUAUCAGAGAGAUUACUCUCAAGGUGGCCCGACUAUCGGAGAGAUUACUCUCAAGGUGACCCAACUAUCAGAGAGAUUACUCUCAAAGUGGCCCGAUAACCAAAGAGAUUACUCUCAAAGUGACCCGAUUAUCGGAGAGAUUACUCUCAAGAUGGCCCGACUAUCGGAGAGAUUACUUUCAAUGUGGUCCGACUAUCGAAGAGAUUACUCUCAAGGUAUGAGGGGAUGGAUACUCACCCCCGCUCAAAAAUUGGAGUCCAUUUCAGGACGCAAAGGUUCAUACGACAUAUUGAAGUACAAGUUCAUGGCAACAAAUAGAUGGAGAAAUCCUCAACAUCAUAUGGAGGACAUACCCAUGGCAGCAUAUAGAAGGGUAAAUCCAUAAACAGGCCAACUUAAGGUACAAAGGGACUUAAAUGUCCGCCUUAAGAUUGAAAAGUUAUAGUUUAUUUUAAGGACAAACCCGCAAAGAGGCCAACUUAAGGUGCAAAGGGACUUAACGUCUAUCUUAAGAUUGGAAAAUUAUAGUUCCUUUUAAGGACAAACCCACGAAGAGGCCAACUUAAGGUGAAAAUGGACUAACAUGUCCACCUUAAGAUUGGAAAAUUAGAAAGCUUCAACUCGAAGACUUGGUCGACUUGAUGACAUCCACUUGAACACUUGGCGGACUUUGAUGCGAAGACUUUGAGGGUUGAAAUGUUUCAACUUGAAGAUCGGAGGGUUUGAGGACCUCAACUUGAAGAAUGAUAGACUUGAAGACUUGGAGGCUUAUAUAUUUCGACUUGAAUACCGAAGAACUUGAAAACCGGCAAACUUAAAGAUUUGGCAAAAAUGAAGACAUAGUGAAUCCUCGGACUUCAAUGCAAAUGCUUGACAACCUCCUAAAAGAUAUUAAUCAUUCCAUUGAAGAUACCAAUUUACCACAGCGGCUUGUGCCCUUUAAAUCAAAUGAGAUCCAAAGUUUAACAGAAGAAUGAUAUCUCAGCUCGAUUUUCAAGUGCUGAUUGAAUGGAUUACAUUCCAUCGUACUUCAUUCAGACAAUGAUUGGGGGAUUAUGUAUCUUUUGAACUUAUGCGACUGAACUCAGAAUGAAACUCUAAGCUUCCUACAUAUCUCGGUAAAGAGGAUCAAUUCAUAUCGUAGUUCAGAAUGGGUGAUUUUUUUAUGUCCUAAUUUUUGCCUAAGCCGCCUCUUUCGAGGUUUUCAACUUAGCAGACUUUUAUUUUUUUUGGGCCGUAUAUAAUUUAGAUUCAUGUGGGCCAGGAGUGCAGGAACAUGCAGUUAAGGCUCGUGUGUCAAGGAGCGUAACGACUUGCAAUUUAAGCUCGUAUUUAGAGGAUCUUUGCAACUUGAAGAUUUUUCUCAAAUUUGAAGAGCUUCAUGACAUGUAGUUUAGGCUCGUGCAUCCAGGAGUAUUGUAAUUUGAAUAUUUAGCUUACAAUUCAAAAUGCUUCGCAACUUAAAGACUUGCUCAAUUUUGAAGAGCUUUGCACUUGAAGUUCCGCUCGAAUUUGAAGAUCUUAGUGACAUGAAAAUUUAGCUCAAAGUUGAAGAGCUUUGCAACCUAAACCCUUUGCUCAAAUUUGGAGAGAUUUAAAACUUGAAAACUUUUCUCGAAUUUGAAGUGCUUUAUAUAUUGAAGUUUGGCUCGAAUUUAAAAAGCAGUGCAACUUGAACUCUUUGACUUUGAAGAACUUUCGACUUGAGUCUUUGCUCGAAUUUAAAGAACUUUGCAACUUAAACACUUUGCUUGAAUUUGAAGAGCUUUACAACUUGAAGACUUUGCUCAAAAUUGAAGAGCUUUACAACUUGAAGACUUUGCUCAAAAUUGAAGAGCUUUACGUCUUGAAGUUUGGCUCGAAUUUAAAAAACUUUGCAACUUGAAGUCUUUGCUCGACUUUGAAGAGCUUUCGACUUGAGUCUUUGCUCGAAUUUGGAGAACUUUUCAACUUGAACACUUUGCUCGAAUUUGAAGAGAUUUACAACUAGAAUGCUUUGCUCGAAUUUGAAGAGCUUUAUGUCUUAAAAACUUUGCUUGAAUUUGAAGAGCCUUACAUCAUAAAGAUUUAGUUCAAAGUUGGGGAGCUUCAUGACAUACAAUAUAUACUUGUGUGGUAAGAAGAAUUAUAACUUGUAGUUUAGGCUCGUGCAUUGAGGAGCGUUAAAACUUGCAGUUUAGGCUCGUGCAUUGAAGAGAGUUAAAACAUGUAGUUUAGGCUCGUGCAUUGAGUAGUAUUACAACUUGCAAUUUAGGCUCGUGCGUUGAGGAGCAUAAUGACAUGAAUAGACUCUUCAAUUUCACUUUCAGAUGAAACUUGCCCCCAUCCCCUCCUUCUUAUUUUUCUUCUUCGUCGUAAGGCUCAAAGACAAGUAGCCUUUGGUCUCCACUUGUGGCCAUAUUUAGUUCCAUAUCAUGAGCACGGGUUACUAGUUCUUCAAAUGUUUUAGGCUUUAUGCCUUGUAAGAUAUAGUAAAGACUCCAAUGCAUGCCUUGAAUGCACAUUUCGAUGCCAGAAGUUUUGCUAAGGUGAUCUUUACAGUUGAGGCUUAAGCUCCUCCAGUGGUUGAUGUCAAUUAUUGGCUCAUCCUUUCUUUGAUGAGCGUUUAUAAGUUUGAUCAUCCUUACGAUGCACCUUGUGCUAUAAAAACGAUUGAGAAACUCUUGCUCUAGCUGCUUGUUACACCCCGUAAGUUGUUUUUUGUUCCAGUAUGUUUACUCGUCCUCAAAAUGUAAUCAAAUGCUUAUUUACUAUUUUUCUCUUUUUACUUGUCCUUUGAACAAAAAAAGAAGUAGGCUAAAGCUACUAAAUGAAUCCAAAAAAUAAAGGUUUAACGUACUGUUACCAUUUUUGUUUUUAAAAGAAAAUAAAGGUAUUGAGCAACUUAUCGGAUUUAUUAUCCUGGACUUUGAAAUGUUCUACUCUUUAGUUUGUUAUAACUAAAAUUUCAUGUGGACGAGGAUGAUAUACUAUUCCUACUUCCUUGAUACCUUGAUUAGUGAAUCCGAACUGUUGUCCAUCUCUCAUAAGAUAGGUUCUACCUAAAUCUAAGCAGACUUAACACUUGUACUCUGAUCCUUGAUUACUGAAACCAAAGUUGUAUCCGGCUCAGUAGAUAGUUGCUCGGUGAGCUCCGGAAAUCAAAGUAUGUUAAAAUGAUCUCCAAUGAAUGAGUGCACACGACCACCAUUAUUUCUCUUUCUUGCUUUCCAGUUUCCACCAAAAACAUCUAAUUCUUUUUCCCUAUCUUUCUAUCUUUGCCAUAAAACCUUCUGAAAGUAGACCUCCAAAGUCAUUGAAUUGCUUGGCUCUGCCUGUGUAUUGGGAAAAAACUGAAUUUAUAUAUUGAAGAUGACGUGUCAUGACACGUGGACUGGUCAAAUGGUCAAAAUACGGUAAUCAACCAAGAAGGCACGGGCGACAACAGAUACGGAGAGAAGAAAGUUAAAUAGGCACGAGUCGUUAUUCAAGAGGCACGAGUUUCGUACCUAUAUAAGUCAUUUCAAACCCCGAAGAUCGGAAAGGAUUGAAGAUAUGAAUCUGAUGACGCAAAAGAGUCCAAAUUCAGCAUUAAAUAUCAAAUACGUGAGAGAAUUUGUAUUUAAUAGGAAUGAUUGAGUAACGUUUCUUUUAAUGUCAUUUAUUGCUCAUAAUUGCCUCAUUAAGACAAAGGCAUUGCACCUUCUCCUAGAAUCAACUAUAAAAUGAGAAGGACUUAAAAUCUGUAGAGAAAAAGAUUAUUGAGACUUUACUGAAAUACAAAACUAUUUACUGCUUUAUCAUCGUUCUCAAAAAUCUUUUAUUAUUUUCGUCUCCUGAUUAUCAGUAACCCGAAUUUCUCUUCGUUUCUAGCUUUGACCAAAGACUCAGAUUUUUGGUUAAACAAAUUGGUUCCAUUAUCGGGAAACUGAUAAUCUUUUCUUUUAAGCUACGCUCUAUCCGUUGUUAUCAUCAUGUCAAACAACAACAACCACAGUGAAAACACCUUGGGAAACCAUGAAAAUCAAACCCAUCAAAAUCAAGGAGAUUUACAGAACAUUGACAUGGUUCCCUCUCCUCAAAAUUCACCACGCCAAUCUCGUGAAGGCACUCCUGAAUCUCGUGCUGAGCAAUCUGAACAUUUUGAAGGGGUAGAUGAAGCUUUACAAAAAGUAAUUGAUGCACAGGUUAGCAAAGCUCUUCAGGCUCUAGUUAGUUGAUUACCUGUUGCCCCAUCCACACCUACGCCCAAUAAUAAUACAUUGGAAAAUCCUCGUUCUGGCCUUGUUAAUUCUGGAAAUGGAGGAACCCCCAGUGAACUACAGGAAGAAGAACCAGGUAAUUUAAAUAAUUCUCAUUUGCAAAAUUUAGUACUAACUUUGCAGAAAUAGCUUAAGGAGAAGAAUGAGCGCAUUGAGCAAAUCCCGGGAGUUCCACCUGUAAUUAAAGGAGUGUAUAUGGACAAAUAUUCACAACAACCUUGGAAGCCAAGUGCUUCUCCCCUUCCAAUUCCCAAAAAGUUCAAAAUGCCCGACACCCCAAAAUACGAUGGUACAACAGAUCCACGUAACCACGUAACUGUAUUUACAACAGGCGUGAAAGGCAAUGACUUGACAAAACAAGAAAUCGAAUCAGUACUGGUCAAGAAAUUUGGCGAAACACUCACCAAGGGGGGCAUUAUCCUGGUAUUCUCUCUUACCUGAAAAUUCUAUAAAUUCUUUUGCUGAGCUUGCAGAUUCUUUUAUUAAAGCACACUCGGGAGCUCAAAAGGUUGAGAAAAGAAUGGAGGAUAUUUUCAAAUUCAAACAAGGGGAUUCCGAGUUGCUCAGGGAUUUUGUUGAUAGAUUCCAACAUGAAAGAAUGACUUUACCUCGUGUACCUGAUAAUUGGGCUGCAAUAGCUUUUGCAAGCAACUUGAAUGACAAAAGCUCAGAAGCCACGAAAAGACUUAAAGAAAGCCUUCGAGAAUUCCCUGCAACCACGUGGAACGACGUUUAUAACAGGUAUAGUACGAAGUUGCGAAUUGAAGAAGAUACCAUACCUCAGUUUCAUCAUGAAGAAAUGAGCAAUCCCAGGAGAUCAGAAACCGAAAAAAGAUCAGGUAAAAACAGGUACGAUCCAUAUAUGGGACCUGCAGGGAAAGACUCACGGUCAAAGUAAGAUAGUCAACGAUAUGAUCAAAAAUGGAGGAACAGAGAAUCUGGUUCUUCAUCAAGAUUCACGAAUGACCGAAACAGACAAGAAUCACGAGAUGAUGACCGAAGUUUAAAGGCAAGAUUCGGUGGAUAUAACUUUAAUGUCACUACCUCCGAGCUCGUAGCUGUUUUGAGGAGCAUGGGAGAUAAGGUACGAUGGCCAAAAGAGAUGCGGUCAAAUCCAAAUAGACGCAAUCCAGACCAUUGGUACGAAUUCCAUGAUGAUCACGGGCAUAAAACUUCAGAAUGUAGAUUCUUACAAAGUGAAGUGGAUCAUCUAUUGAAACAAGGAUAUCUCACUGAGUUAUUUAGUGAGAAAGGUAAGCAAGCUUAUAUGAAAAAUAGGCAAGAGCCACCAAAGCCCCCUUCACCCAAGAGAACCGUGAAUGUUAUAAGUGGAGGAGAAGAUAUUCACGGUGUAACAUAUACGGCUUCCAACAAGGUUUCUAAAGCAACAAUAACACACGGGAAACAGGUACGACAGGUUUUGGAAAACGAAAGUAUUUCUUUCGAUGAUGCAGAUACCGAAGGAGUAAUGACCCCACAUAAGGACGCACUGGUAAUAUCUUUACUUGUACAUGAUACUAAUGUAAAACGAGUUUUGAUUGAUCCAGGAAGUUCCGUAAAUAUUAUAUUAUUGAGGGUACUACGCGAAAUGCAAGCUGAAGACAAAAUGAUACCUAAGGCACAUACCUUGUCCAGGUUCGACAAUUCAAGUGUGGUAACAAAAGGAGAGGUAAUUCUAACAACUUUUGCUGCAAUGUUGUUAAAGAAACUAAAUUUCAGGUAGUAGAUAUGGAAAUGGCUUACAAUAUGAUCAUGGGGAGACCGUGGAUACAUGAUAUGGAUGCUGUCCCAUUAACUCUACAUCAAGUUAUUAAAUUCCCAUCACCGUGGGGAAUUUUCCAAAUUCGUGGGGAUCAACAGACAGCUAGGAGUAUCAAUGCUGUAACAGGUACGAGCACCGUAAAUAAAGAAAAAUAGCAAUUACAGGAAACAGUUGAGGGUAUCAAGGAUCAAACCUUAGCUGAACAAGAAAGGACAGAUUUAGACUCGAGACCUGAUACAAUUCAAGAAUGCACACGGUACGUUCAAGCAACGGAGGAAUCAAAUGAUGAAGAGAUGCGGGUGAACCUUGAUUUGCUCGAAGGAAGAAGAGAAGCUGCAUUAAUAAGGAUGGCAGUACAAAAGCAAGUAAUCGAUCGGUAUUAUAACAGGAAGCACGCCNNNNNNNNNNNNNNNNNNNNNNNNNGGAGCAUACGAGUUGGAGACAAUGGAUGGCAAGGUUCUACCAUCACAUUUGAAUGUUGUCCACCUAAAGAGAUAUUAUUUAUGAGAAAAUAUCUACGAUCAGGUAUCGCUAUAUUAGAAUUUUUUCCUUUGAAUUGUUAAAAUUCUACUAACGAUUUUAGAUGCUAGGCAAAAACCCUAACUCGUGCCAAAUGAUGAGUCACGACCUGCACGGCAAAGCGGAAUAUUCUAAAAUUCCCAGCCCAGUGUUACAAAUUAAUCUAAUGGAAAUAUACACGAGUUAGGCAGUCUUCAUCUCUAAUCGCACCUCUGAGUUCCAUAUGUGUUUCUAUUCCAGGAAAAGGACUAAAAUUGAGAGAAACAAACAAAUGCUCGAGGCUUCAUAUGUCAUCACUCAAACACUUGGGGGACUACAUAUUAUACACAGAUACGUGCAAAUUGUACACAGAUACAAAGUGGAAAGUGUUGAGCAAAAGUUACGAAGUUUCCAGCAUUCAUCAUAGUGUUCUUUCCCAUCAGAACAAAGGGAGAUUGAUAUCAUCAUAGUGUCUCAAACUCAUGAGAACAACAGAGUCACCUCUCAAAUUCAUGAGAGCAACAGAGUCACCUCUCAAACCCUUCUUAAUACAUGAAGAUAGGGUCAUGACUAUACACUGAAACGGGUUAUGAGGAAAAACCUUGUUUAUUUUACAUUCAUUUUGUAAAAAUCUGUUACAAGAAAAAUAGUUACGAGAAAGUUAUAGAUGUAUUUUAAUACAUAUAAUAUUCAAAAGCUUGUCCAAGUUCAUGAAUAAAAACUUGUCAAAGUUGUUUCAAACAAAACAUGUGUAUUCCUAUUUCUUUCAUCGUAUUGUAACACUAUUAUGAAGUUGAGACGUCUUCUUCAUUAAGUGUCGAUAUAUAUAAAAGGGCCCUCUUUUAUAAACCUCAUGUUAAUAAGUCAUGGGAAGAAUCAUAAAGCAUUUUCAAAGGAUAAAAAUGCUAAACUAUUCUAUAAGUCCUAAAUAAAUAAGGAAAAGGCAAGAAUAGAACACAUUGAAGUACUAACAAACUUCUUAAUAUAAUUAAAAAAGACUAAGUAGAAACUUAGUCAAUAAAAGUUUAUACAAGUGCCCCAUUAUGAUAACUGGUGACUUUCACCAAAAAUCCCUUAAAAACUAACCAAGAGAUAAAUCACCAAUAAAACAAAACAAAUAAAAACAAGGAUCUGGAAACAUAAACUGGUCACUAAGAGGCUGGAAUAUCAGAAGAUGCUAUAUCAGCUUCACUUUCAGGAACAACCCUAGAUAUGGUGGUAACCUCUGAAGAAGCAGCAACAGGAGCGGGUUCAGCUGAGAUAGAAGUUUCACCCUCGGGAGCUGGAAUUGUAGUAUUUUCAACUUCAACUGUCAUAGCAACGGCUUCGUCAGUUAAAGGUUCUUCAGCCAUGGGAACUUCAAAUUACCGGAGAAGGAGAGUCAAGUGGUUGUUGGGUUCUCUCAAUGGUAUCUAAAGCUUUGGCCAACUCUAAGCUUAAAUCAAAGUUUUCUUGACUGGCCUCCAUUAAAGCAUCACGACGAGAGUUUAGAAAAGCCCAACUCACCUCUAUGUUUAAAUUCUCCUCAAGAAGUUCAUACUCCCUUUCCCACAUAGCAAGAUCAUUCUUUAACACUUGAUUUUCAGCUUAAGAGGAAUCAAAGGAAGCUUCGAGGGAGGCAUGAGAACUCUCUAAGGCACGUACCUUAUCAGAAGAGAUUUUUAAAUCAGCUUGAGCUUGAGUCAAGCUUUGCACUAAUUCCCUUGCAUACUCUUCUUUCUUGGCCAAGAGUGCCUUAAGUUCUCUAAUCUCUUCACUGCACUUUGAUAAUUGUUUUGAAAAUGAACACUUAAGACGCUCCUUAUCUUUUUCAAAUUGGCUUGAAGAAGCCUUGGAAACUUCUAAUUCAGAAGUCAGACCUCGCUUUUGCUGCUCCAGGUGAUUUCUACUCUCUUGCAAUUCUUCUAUAGUUCCCUGAGCAUUCUCAAACUGCUUUUUCCAAUUUAGCUGCUUCUAGCUGGGCUCCCCUGGCUAUUUCCUCAGCCUCGUGGAUAGACUUUUCAGACUCACGGGCUUUCCUCUCCAGAAGAGAAAUUCUUCCCAUCAAUUCUGUACCAAUGAGGUUAGCCUACAGUGACAACUCACGGAAGUAAGAAUUUGGACAUAAAAAAAACUUGUUAGUAAGUAAAGGAAGAAUACCUUCAAAGUAGAAUGUACAAUGUCAUUCAUCAAAGUGAAGCAACUAUGGCUGUCCAUCUUCUUCUUCUCAAUAUCUCCAAUCAAAGGCCUAAGCCAGUCAUCUACUCCACCAGACUUUCUUAAAAGACUGUUAUUGGCAGGAACUUCAAGUGUAACGUUCCUCAUAGCCGAGCUUCUACUUCUAGUGCCCUCCUCUGCAUUUUGAACAGAGGAAGGGGGAGCUAUAGAAGGAAGAGCAGUAGAAGAAGUGAAAAUAACAGGAGUCAAAGGACUCGAAGCAGGUAAGGGAGAAGGAACAGAUAGAAUGGGCAAGGAAGCACUUGAAAUCAAUGGAUAAAUAGAAGGAAUGGGAACAUAGGAAGAAAGAGGAACUUUAUUCAAAACUGGACCUAGUUUACCACUUUCAAAACCACAAACGAAAAGACGUUGAACAGACUCAUUGGUAUCCAUUAGAGUGGUUUCAUUAUCAGAAGGAAUAUGAACAGGUUCGGUAAGAGAGGCAUGAACAGGGGUAACUUCAGCUUCAUCCUCGGAAACGAUGCAUCUCCUGGCUCUUGGUCUAGCCAUCAAAGAGGUGUCUUCAUAUUCAUCGUCCUCAGAAUCGUCUUCUACAACUUUCCUCUUCGACAGUCUAGCUUGAGUUCUCUCCAAAGAAAAUGAAGUACCAGAAGAGGCUCGAAGGGCAGUAGCCACUUCAGCUGUCAUUCCUCGAAUAGCAAAUCCUGACAAAAAGAAGGAUAAAAAGUUAGAAACAAGAAAGGAUUUAACAUACGGAAAAACAUAAAGAAAUGCAUACCGUGAGUUUUCACUUUCCAACCAUACAAAUUGGAAAUGGAUUUCCAAGUUCUCGCUUCCAUAGGCACGACUUUCAAGUUAAGUCUACCCAACCACGGAAAUUAGGAACGGGCUCCACAUCUCCCAUGGUUGCUACAGAAAAGCCAAAAAGGAUAAAAUGAGAAAAGAAGUUGAAAUUCUUAAUGAUAGGAAUGGUAAGUAAAAAAAAAACUUACGUGCAAAGUUCCACUUCUCAGGGAAGGGAAUAUUUGUUUCACCCACCAAAUCAACUGUGUGUACCACAACAUAACUAGUGUACCACCCCCAAUCCUUAUCAUCUUCAGGGCUUACCAAGGAGCUUUUACUUCUUGCAGUUAGAGUGAAGUCUCCAUUGCGGAAUAGCUUGGGGUGGUAAAGAUGAAUAAGGUGGGGGAAGGAAAAAUCAACAUUAGCUUUGCCUGAUAAAUAUCUCAAACAAGCCACUGCUCUCCACACAAGGGGGCCAAUUUGUCCCAAACAAAUUUUGAAAAAGCGACAAAAAUCAAGUAUAACUGGGUCAAUAGCAGGAAUAAAUCCCAAAGUGAAGGGGUAAGUAUAAAUAAAAGAAAAUCCAAUCCUAAAAGAAGAAAUUCUUUGGUUUGGAUUAGUGAUCACUAUACGAAGAUCACUUCUCCAGUUGCAAUCUUUUCGAACAAUAGAAAUCAAAGGUUCAGUAAUUAGAGAAGGAAAAGUAUCAGCCUUCUCUAAAUUAACAACUUGUUCACGAAGAGAUUUUCUAUCAUUCUCAAAGGGUAAGUCAUUAGGCACUAUUUCUUCAACUGAAGGCUCUUGAAGAGGCUCAGAAAGUUCUUUACCUUUAGAAGAAGUUUUCUUAGUGAUAGAACCUCUAGAAAUAGUGCCAGAGCUAGAAGAAGGUAUGAUGGAACCAGAGGCACCACCACGAACAGAUCCUAGGCUACGAAGCCUGCCUCUUCUAACCCUUCUAUGUCUUACAGGGGCGUUGGGGAAGCUAUCAAGAAUUGGGACUCUCUUAGGGUUAGGAUUCGGAUACGUCAUUAGAAAAAGGAUGAACUAAAGGAGAAAGGAACAAAAGUAAAGAGUAAAGUAUCUGUUAAGGGUUUAUGAAGAAGAAGACAAAGGAGAAAAGGUUAAAUAUGUAUAUAAAAGCAACUGUCGAACAAAGAAGUGUAAUGAUGGAAAGCCUAUAUUAAAGGCAACUAUCACUUCGUGAAUAUAAGGUAUGAAUAAGCCUUGAAAAAAGGCUGCAAAAUUACAGAGCCAAUCAGAAGGUGAUGCGUGUGCAGAGCAUUAAAUAGAAAAGACAAUUGAAGCGUCAGUAUGGUAAAAAAUUCCCUUUUUGUGAAGAUCCACUUCCCAAAUAUUUAAUUGAUAAAUAAAUGGAAAGUGGGGGGACUAUCUGUAUUGGGAAAAAACUGAAUUUAUAUAUUGAUGAUGACGUGUCAUGACACGUGGACUGGUCAAAUGGUCAAAAUACAGUAAUCAACCAAGAAGGCACGGGCGACAACAGAUACGGAGAGAAGAAAGUUAAAUAGGCACGAGUCAUUAUUCAAGAGGCACGAGUUUUGUACCUAUAUAAGUCAUUUAAAACCCCAAAGAUCGGAAAGGAUUGAAGAUAUGAAUCUGAUGAUGCAAAAGAGUCCAAUCAGCAUUAAAUAUCAAAUACGUUAGAGAAUUUGUAUUUAAUAGGAAUGAUUGAGUAACGUUUCUUUUAAUGUCAUUUAUUGCUCAUAAUUGCCUCAUUAAGAUAAAGGCAUUACACCUUCUCCUAGAAUCAACUAUAAAUGAGAAGGACUCGACAUCUGUAGAGAAAAAGAUUAUUGAGACUUUACUGAAAUACAAAACUAUUUACUGCUUUAUCAUCGUUCUAAAAAAUCUUUUAUUAUUUUCGUCUCCUGAUUAUCAGUUACCCGAAUUUCUCUUCGUUUCUAGCUUUGACCAAAGAUUCAGAUUUUUGGUUAAACAGCCUGGAUGCUGAUUCUUGUAGCUGAGUGAGCUUCUAGAAAAGUGUUGUUAAAAGCAAGCAUUUUAUCACUUAAAAGCUAUAGAGUGUCAAAGCAAGAAAUUGUAGUAAGAUGGAUUGUGUAAAUGAUUCAGAGACCCUGGUAAUAAUGUAUCGAGAAUCUGCAUAUAUUGUAAACAGGCACAAUCUUUGUUCUAUUCUAAUUCUAUAAAAUUUACCUUUUAAAAAAAAUAAAUGUUUA
RNAcentral lists this long non-coding RNA (31973 nucleotides) under Nicotiana tabacum (common tobacco). RNAcentral's name for it is "long non-coding RNA (NTAB_LNC007656)". The record is from RNAcentral. Lineage: Eukaryota; Viridiplantae; Streptophyta; Magnoliopsida; Solanales; Solanaceae.